CCUACGGGUGGCAGCAGUGAGGAAUAUUGGUCAAUGGCCGUAAGGCUGAACCAGCCAAGUCGCGUGAAGGAAGAAGGAUCUAUGGUUUGUAAACUUCUUUUAUAGGGGAAUAAAGGUAUCCACGUGUGGAUAUUUGCAUGUACCCUAUGAAUAAGCAUCGGCUAACUCCGUGCCAGCAGCCGCGGUAAUACGGAGGAUGCGAGCGUUACCCGGUUUUAUUGGGGUUAAAGGGUGGGUAGGUUGUUUUUUAAGUCAGCGUGGAAAGUUUGUGGCUAAACCGUAAAAUUGCUGUUGAAACUGGAAGACUUGAGUGUGUAUGGGGUAGGCGGAAUGCGUGGUGUAGCGGUGAAAUGGAUAGAUAUUACGCAGAACUCCGAGUGCGAAGGCAGCUUAUUAAGCCAUAACGGACACGGAAGCACGAAAGCGUGGGGGUCAAACAGGAUUAGAUACCCUGUAGUC
Molecule: ribosomal RNA, 459 nt
Filed under: uncultured bacterium
Lineage: Bacteria
Description: partial 16S ribosomal RNA
Rfam family: Bacterial small subunit ribosomal RNA
Source: RNAcentral